Poecilia latipinna (sailfin molly) is the source of this 7128-nucleotide long non-coding RNA. RefSeq lists it as uncharacterized. NCBI's taxonomy places the organism in Eukaryota, Metazoa, Chordata, Actinopteri, Cyprinodontiformes, Poeciliidae. The transcript has 2 exons. The record is from RefSeq and is a predicted model, not a curated record.
AAAUGGAUAGAGAUGCACCAAUCAAAUGACCACAUCUUGUUUUCCCUUCUUUAUUUGCUCUUUUCUGAAAAAAUCUAUUUUAACAUCUUUAUUGCAAAAAUACACAGAACACUGACUACUUUUAGUCAAUAUAUACAUCAACCAACAGCAUUUGGUAUGAUUCACUUUUCUAAGUUUAAUAAAAUCUGAUAAAGGUAAUAGGGAUGUGCUUAAGUGUAUAAAAGGAUAUUAUCCUGUUACUCAUUCAUUUUCUAUUGGAAUUACAAUUACUAGCUCCAUAAAAAAAAAAACAUCCAGCACAUUUUUUCUCUCUCUUUUUUUUGAGUGUUUUGGUCCUUAGAUAAAAAUUCAGAAAAUCAGAAAUCUGUAUUAGUCAGAAGACCCCGGGUGAUGCAUCUCUACUGAUUCCACAAACACUGCAAACAUCCAGACUACAGAGCAGCUCCCAUAAUCUGGGAGCUGAACGGCAUCUGAAAUCUAAAGCGUAUCCCUCAAACAAAAAGGACAACUAAAUCUGGAGAACAAAGAGCUUCUGAUCGAGGAUGGAGUUUCAAAUCCAACUUCCUGUUCAAGGUGAGAAGAGAGAUGCAGCGUUCUUAAAAUACACAACCUGCUCAGUGUAAAGCUGCUGUAUUCUCAUAUGCGUCAAUCCGAACGCUGAAGGUCAGAUGCGUCUGAGCUGGUAGCUGACAAGGAUGGCAACGGCUUGAUAUGGGAUUGCGCAUGACUUACAAAUCCAUCCCAAAGCAGAAUUUAAAAACUUCCACACGUCCUGCAGAGGCAGGACAGCCUGAGGAGUGGGAGAAGAAAUGCUGCCCUCUAUCAGCGGCAUUCAUUCCUCCCCACGCAGGAGCAGAAACACACAAUCCAACCCGAGACGGGGGUCGGGGAGAGCAGCACGCGCAUGUGUUGAUCUUGUCCUCGGAAGUCCUUUUCCCCCAGUCUUCCUUUUCCGUCAGAGACAGAGGAAGCACAAUGGUCAGACUGUGCUGAAAGGUUGUGCCGGCAGCCCGGCUGUGUAUGGAGGUUCUGUUGGGGCCGGCGGCGGCUCUGUUGCAUACAUAUGGAAAAGGAUGGAAGUUAAGACAGAAGGGUCGCAGAGGGGUUGUGAGUGUGACCACAGAGGUCUGCACAGGCGCCUUCCUAACUCAUACAUUCACUGACAUGUGAAAUCAGGACUCUGAUCCGUUCAUCUGGGGAUGGGAGGAAAUCACAAUCCUAAUACAACCGAAGCAGUGUUUUCAAAGCUUAACUAACCUCCUUGGGCUCUGAUGCAAACUGGGUCUAUUUUCCUAAAAAAAAGAAAAAAGAAAAGAAAAAAAAAAGCAUCCACCUUUCUUUAACUCAGAAAACCACUCAAAACCGGUUCCCAUGGCAAAGCGGAGAACCUAACCUGCAACAGUGGGAAGUGAAUACACACAAGGAAGUAGACACACAUGCAGGAGCUCAAUGGUUGCAGCUUUUUGCUCACACAUCAUGCUGUAAAUGUCAGAAGACUGCCGCCUCACUAUCCUUCAACAUUUUACUGCUUCACAGAGAGUCAGCAUCAGAAAACACCUUGAUAUCAGGAGAAUCUGCUCCAGCUGCAUAGAAAGAUUGCACAAAAAAAAAAAAAAAACUGUGCACGAUGCCAAUAUUUAACAGCUCAUCUGGACGAGACCAACUGGACGGUUAGAAAUUUUCGAAUAAUGCAGCAGAACUAGUUCUCAGACAUUGGCUAAUUACUGGUAUGACAAUGUAUCAAAGGUUUCAAAAGGCUUCUGUCACGCCCUUCUUGAGGUUUUAAAUCUUCUGGCUGAAUAGAGAAUAGCUGCUCCUACUGUGCACAGCCAGUCUGCUAGCUAAAGGAAAGUUUUUGCACGUUUUGUCGAUAUUUUAACAUCCUAUACAAGCAGCUGGUGCAGUUAGCGCAGCUAGCAUCACUAAUUCAGUGUAUAUGCAGGUCUGUACUUUGACUCUGAGAUUCCGAAAAGCUUGCCAAGAUUUCAAAACACAGCAUAUUUAAUGACAGACAGAGGUUGAAAGCUCAAACUGCUGCUAUAGUUUCAGCUUUGUUGUUAUGUAUUUAAAGUUGUCCACAAAGACGUUCAAAGUUUCCUAUGAAACAGAUUCAUACAACUCUUUUACUUCAUUUACAAGCACGUCGCCAUUACUGAAAAUAAGUCAUAUUUAGGUCUGCGUCAGUAACAACUUUCGCACUGAGGAGGGGUGUUGUUGUUGUUGGUGGUGGCACUUCAGUGUGUCAGAAUAAGGCAGUAUUUUUGAGUUCCUCACCUGCCGCUCAACAGUCAAGGUCGGUGAAACUGAGAAUCUGCAGAUUCCAGCCAAUGGCCACUUGUUCUGUGCAUCUUUGCAAUCGUUCAUAAUGAGAUACAAGAGAAAUGGCCAAAAUCACCAAAGUUUUCUCCAGCUCAGUUUUUCGCACCCAAUUUUUGCUGUGCACUACACAUCAGCUAGCUGAAAGAAGAUGACUACACUUUCACUUGCUUACAAGUAUGAAAAAUUUGUCUGUUUCAAAAAACAAGGAUGAUCAUGGCCUGGAUACUAAAGAAUCUCACCCGUCACUUUUAUUAAGUUAACACUGUUUGCACAUAUUGUUCCCUUAUCUUUAUUUCCUUUCAUCUAAAGUUUAUAUAUUUACAUUUUAUGUAUGUACAAUGUGAGAAAUGAAGUCAAAUUCCUUGUCUCUGCUCACAAUCUCAGCCAACAAAACAGAUUCUGAUUACUUCCAAAAAUAAUCACAUUGUGCUGUUAGAAGAAGUUUGAGUAGUUGCUGUUUUUUAUGUUCUAGAUAAAAGCAAUUUAAUCCUGCAAAUAAUUUUUUUGCAGUUAUCAUAAGAAUCUAAUAAUUGUGCAAGCCAGCUUACAAUGUAUCCUGCUUGAUAUUGAAGUGACUGUCUGGUUCUGAAAAUGUCUUAAUCACAAAAUAAUAUCCAUAGAAGCAUCUUUUAUAGUUUCACCUUUGUGGCGUAUAAGAACUCAGACUGUAAUCUUUUUAUUUUUGUCACAUCAUAAAUGUGCACUGAAAUCUUACACACAUAGAAAACAUUGUCCGUUUUUUUUUUUCACGAUUUAAAGCCCUAACAACACUUUCUGCGGAUGUCAUUUUCCUCUAAGGAAGAAAGCUUGAUUUGAAUAGUGUAGGUGGCAUCUUCUCUUCAGCGAGCGCCGUGAUAUUGUGUGAUGGGUUUGGCAUGUCGAUUUGAUUUUUCACUUGCCAGGAAACUGGUCUUCGAGAGCUCUCUGGAAGAGGAGCUGCUUCUGCCUGUAUACCCUUAGCUGCGUGCUGAUGCUCAUUUAAAGGUCGUUUUUUUUUUCUUUCUUUCUUUUUUACUGAGUCUGAUGCAAACUUUGCUUUACAAGCAUGGACAAGUCUAGAUUCUGCACAAUUUACAGAGUGCAUCAAUGAUCUUCUUUUUCACUGUUGCCUAGCCGGCUCUGUCUUACUUGUCACUUGUAGCUGCUCCAUCUUUCCAAUAGCACUUUGUUGCCGAUCAGCUGAGAAUGCAGCAUUACUUUUUAUCAUCAUGUAAUACCAAGUGUUACAAGUCGCAAUAUGACGUGCAAAAACAGUUUGCAAAUAGUUGUCUUUCCUUGUAGCACCCAAAAGCCAUCAUUUCUCAAUCUUUUAAGUGCAGCUUUGGGCUCUACUAUUAAGUUUGUUUACUUCUGCUGGGAACAAAAUGCAGGGGUUCUCGAAUCCUGAAUAAAAUUCCACGCAAAUUGUAAAUUCAGUCGCAGUCUAAAGGUCUGAGAGGCUCAGAGAAAAAUGAGCGACAAAAUCCAAAUAGCAAUAAGAAAAUCAAGCUUCAGACAUCUGUUUGUUUACGAUUGAAAAUAUUUGUUUUCAUGCCUUUUUUUGUCUUUAAAUGGCAUGUUAGAAAAUAUUUAGCAACUACUGUGGAACUUUUGUGUUUUUCAGGGUUACUUGUGGACUUGCACAAUAUAUUGCAUCACAAUAUCAAUGUGCAUGCUCUCAAUCGCAAUGGAAUGCUUGGAUAGAAUAAUGGCAACGUUGUUGUAUUUCAAGGUAGAUGCCUUAAUGCGUUCCAUGAAAAAUAAUUAAUCCGACCAGUAGAAUGCAUGCUUGUACAACUACACCUCAAUUAUUUAAUUUCCUUAGAUCAUGCAGCAUGAGUUACUGUAUUUUGCUCUAAUUUUCAAAACUGUGCAACACGCAACAUUACACCUCCAGCAUGUGUUGUGCACUGCCAGUUGGCUGGCUGAAAGGAAGUUUUCUACACCCUUUCCUUACUUACAUGAAAGACAAAUUUGGCUGUUUGUAAAUAUUUGUGGUCACAAAAAACAGGGAUAGUCACCCUCCUACUAAAUUUAAUACCUAUCUAUUCUAUAUUUCAGACUCUGGUCUAUCCCAUUGCACUACUAUGCAAUCAAUCUGUGAUGCAAAUUAGCCUUUAAUAAACUUUCACAAGAGGAAUUUCUUGAGGAAUCUGUUCCAUCUUUGGAGCCAAUGUCAAUUCAUUCUGAAAAGACAGGAGAAACUUUUAAAGACUCAAAAAUCCCAAAUCAAGCCGUCUAUAUGACCAGCUGUGGGUCGACAGCGUUCCCUCGGAGAAUUUAAGUCUCAGCUCCGUCUCAAACCUGAUUGGCUCCUUUAGAUGCUUCACCUGUUCAAAAACCAUCAGGGGUCUUAAGUUGUACCAGCGAAGCAGUUUUAUAUGGUGAUGAUACGGCACAGGCACAGGGGAGGGGGUGUUCUGCCAGUGUGAGAAAUGCCACCUGCUGCGCGCCUCAGCUGCCCACCCUCUCAGAACGCCACGCCCUCGUCGGCCCGCUGUGACAACCAGCUUCACUGAAAGCCUGGAAGUGCUCAGCUUUAUCUCCAAAAUGAAGCAGUUGACAUUUCUGUCUCUGCUCUGUCAUUUCUGCGUGACUUCUCUGUUCCUAUGCUGAACACGGACAAAAAACCCAGCGACCAAGGGGGUGGGAGGGGGGUCGCUGAAGACAAAGCAGAGACCUUGCAUCUUUGAAUUUUAUUUUGUCUCCAGUAAAAUAACUUGAGCACAGACUCAUAAUCCUGAUUUAUAUCUCAUUAAAUCACAUCCACCAAAUCUAAGGACGCCAGCAAUUCAUAAAAGCCUGAUUAGCGGCUAUCCCUGGAACAUCUGCUCACAUCAGUGUCUAAAUGGGAUGAGAGCAGCCCCACGUUUCCCUUUCUGUAUCUUGAUAGACAACUAUGGAUGGGCCAGCAUGAGAUUUUCAAAGUGUGGAAAUCUUCAGAAAAACACAACAACUUCACAGUUUUCACAGACAUUUGGAACAAAACUGUAUUACAUGAUCGAGCUGCACUUACUUAAAACAGAAAAGCAACUGUUUCUUGCGCAGAAAGCUGACUUUGUACACCCACAUGCAUACACCUAUCACACUCUGACCAAGAAAAAGACUUUCAUCGUGCCAUUACAUGGAGCUAAUAUAAUCUUUUAUUCCACAGACUCUGCCCCGGACUGCUUUUUACAACGACCUGCUAUGAAACAUGUUUAAAUUAAUGAUAACUUUUGUGACAUUUGUGUGUUACUUUUAUGAAACUAUCCCAUUGUUUCUUUGUAUCCUAUGUGCUGCACUUUAGGAUACUAUGGAGUUGUUGUAAAGUUGCUCGAAACCAGAAUUUUCAUAUACAGUACAAAAACCUGCAUUACUUUUGUCUUCCCACAUGGUCUGAAAAUAAACCAGGCUAAACUUUUAGAGCAGUUAGAAUUACCAAACAUAACUCUAGUAGCUGAAUUCAACAAUAAGGAGAGAUCUAUUAAAACUUUCCUUAAAUUCAGAAGUUUGCAGACAUUAUCCUUGUAUUUGGAAGAAGUUUGUCGAGAUUUUUGCCAAUUCCUCCUGAUAGAACUGGGGUAACUGAGUCAGGAAAACACACUCGUCUCUGAGACACAGAAUCUGUCCCGUUUCCUGAAAGCGUAAUGGCUGGACCCAUAGAGCAAACACACUUCGUUCAUCCACGCUUCUCUUCCUGAUAACUUGGGAUGAUGUCUUGAUUUUUACAUCAUGUCACACAAGGAAGCUGUGUGUUUGAGGUGUUGCCUCCAUUUAACUUAAAUGUUAGGAAAUAACCUAUCAGAAUAAAGUCAUGAUAUCAUCAUCAGAGCUUUUCCCAAAUUCUUUGAAGGCUUAAUAGACUUAGUUUACAUAAAUUUGUCAAUGUGAGGAUAGUGGCAAAAUGUUUUUAAUCAAUUAUCUCUCUUAUGAAUUUAUUGUUUAGCAAAUGGAAAUUCUUCUGAUGAUUCUAACAGACCUAAAAUGAAGAACAUUUUUUAUUUUAUUUAAUGCCAGACAGGGAGAAACUAAAGUCGACGCGUUUUCGUACCGUGAGAUACCUGGUUUCAACUACAGAUCUUCUUUCAGUAAGCUGACGAGCAGUGUGCGGGAACAGGUAGGGGAGGGGCAGCACUGCAUUACUUAAUGCACCACGCAGCCAAAGGAGACUCUGGCCAAUCCGGCACCUUCUUUUACAUCUCAAUAAAAGAACAUUAAAUGGUAGGAAGAGGGAAACAGAACCUUUUUUUUUUUUUUUUUUUUAAUUUUUUUAGCCCAUAGCAAACCUUGACACAAGCAACCGGCCCAUGUGUAGCCAAAAUUAACAAUUCUCUUUUCUUCUCCUCAAACAGCUGGCCUCCACAAGCCAAUAAGAGUAAAUCAUCAAGGACAGAUUUUCUCGCAGGCUGUUUGAGGGAAAAUGGCUGAAGUAGCUCUGCUCCAGGAGGCUUUAUGACUCCCAUCCCUAAUCAAUGAGGGGUUUACUUUGUGUCCAUGACAGGCUCUAUCCACAUUAAUAUAACCACUCAGAGAUUAAAUAAGAAGACCCACGGCACGUAUGGCUGAAGCUGUCAGUCAUCGCGUGAUUUCCCCUCAGGUGGAAACUUUCCGCUUUCAUUUGUUGUAUAUUUCUUUAGCUUAGUCACUGGCUAAGUCAUCAUCUCAGAGGGAUCCUCCUCAUCCCAGCCACACCAUCCACAACUUCCUCACCACCACAUUAUGCUGUCCACAGUUGCUUUGCUGAUUAUUAAAUCCUGCUUUUAAUUUUAAUUUUAAUUUAGUGCCAUAGUAACGAAUUAGUCAUGCAACAGGUUGUACAGCGAGAAGAAGAAGAAAAAGAAGAAGAAG